UACGAACCGUGCGAACGUUGUUCGGAAUCACUGGGCUUAAAGGGCGCGUAGGCGGGCUGCCGAGUCCGGGGUGAAAUCCUCCCGCUCAACGGGAGAACGGCCCCGGGUACUGGCGGCCUCGAGGCGGGUAGGGGCGUGCGGAACACUGGGUGGAGCGGUGAAAUGCGUUGAUAUCCAGUGGAACUCCGGUGGCGAAGGCGGCACGCUGGACCCGAUCUGACGCUGAGGCGCGAAAGCCAGGGGAGCGAACGGG
This 253-nucleotide ribosomal RNA is filed under the name uncultured bacterium. Its description in RNAcentral is "partial 16S ribosomal RNA". It matches the Rfam family "Bacterial small subunit ribosomal RNA", at positions 524 to 776 of the family's 1533-position model. The record is from RNAcentral.